AAGUGUAUGCGGGAAAAGGAGGAGAAUAAAGCUGGCAAGUGUAAUCCUGAGUCACAGAGAGACUGCCCGCCGCCAUGAUGACAAACUGCAUGUGACGAUGCCGGCAGGAAGUGUAUGCGGGAAAAGGAGGAGAAUAAAGCUGGCAAGUGUAAUCCUGAGUCACAGAGAGACUGCCCGCCGCCAUGAUGACAAACUGCAUGUGACGAUGCCGGCAGGAAGUGUAUGCGGGAAAAGGAGGAGAAUAAAGCUGGCAAGUGUAAGCCUGAGUCACAGAGAGACUGCCCGCCACCAUGAUGACAA
Molecule: long non-coding RNA, 300 nt
Organism: Peromyscus californicus insignis
Lineage: Eukaryota; Metazoa; Chordata; Mammalia; Rodentia; Cricetidae
Exons: 3
Source: RefSeq, a predicted model, not a curated record